Molecule: ribosomal RNA, 466 nt
Filed under: uncultured bacterium
Lineage: Bacteria
Description: bacterial SSU rRNA
Rfam family: Bacterial small subunit ribosomal RNA
Source: RNAcentral
UUCCAGACUCCUACGGGAGGCAGCAGUGAGGAAUAUUGGUCAAUGGCCGAGAGGCUGAACCAGCCAAGUCGCGUGAGGGAAGAAUGUCCUAUGGAUUGUAAACCUCUUUUGUCAGGGAGCAAAGUCACCCACGUGUGGGUGUUGGAGAGUACCUGAAGAAAAAGCAUCGGCUAACUCCGUGCCAGCAGCCGCGGUAAUACGUAGGUGGCAAGCGUUGUCCGGAUUUACUGGGUGUAAAGGGCGUGUAGCCGGGCUGACAAGUCAGAUGUGAAAUCCGGGGGCUCAACCCCCGAACUGCAUUUGAAACUGUUGGUCUUGAGUAUCGGAGAGGCAGGCGGAAUUCCUAGUGUAGCGGUGAAAUGCGUAGAUAUUAGGAGGAACACCAGUGGCGAAGGCGGCCUGCUGGACGACAACUGACGGUGAGGCGCGAAAGCGUGGGGAGCAAACAGGAUUAGAUACCCCGGUA